RNAcentral lists this ribosomal RNA (253 nucleotides) under uncultured bacterium. RNAcentral describes it as "partial 16S ribosomal RNA". It matches the Rfam family "Bacterial small subunit ribosomal RNA", at positions 524 to 776 of the family's 1533-position model. The record is from RNAcentral.
UACGUAGGCAGCGAGCGUUGUUCGGAAUUACUGGGCGUAAAGAGUGUGUAGGCGGUGCUCUAAGUUCGGUGUGAAAUCUCCCGGCUUAACUGGGAGGGUGCGCCGGAAACUGGAGUGCUCGAGCGUGGGAGAGGAAAGCGGAAUUCCUGGUGUAGCGGUGAAAUGCGUAGAUAUUCGCAAGAACACCAGUGGCGAAGGCGGCUCACUGGCCCGGUACUGACGCUGAGGUGCGAAAGCGUGGGGAGCAAACAGG